This is a non-coding RNA of Macaca mulatta (Rhesus monkey), 1229 nucleotides long. Lineage: Eukaryota; Metazoa; Chordata; Mammalia; Primates; Cercopithecidae. The record is from RefSeq and is a predicted model, not a curated record.
GGCAACAGAGUGAGACCUUGUCUAAAAAAAUAAAUAAAUGUGCAGAGGAAGAGGAAAGAGCCAGCAGGUUUAAGCCUGGAUGUGGCACACAUUCUUAUAACAGCCCCAAGAAGCUGUUACUAUUAUUAUUCCCAUUUUAUAGAUGAGAAACAGGCUCACAGAGGUGAAGUGACUUGCCCAAGGUUACACAACUAGCAAAUGGCAAGAGCCAAGAUUCAAACCAGUCCAAGUUCGUAGCACAUGCUCUGCCCCCCAGGGGAACACAAAGACAGAACUGGAGGAGUAGGGAAAGGCUUCAAGGAGAAGGUGAUAUUUGAAUGGGGCCAUGAAGUGUCAGUAGGAGUUCUGUGGAGGAUCAGGGAGAGCAUUCAGGGAAUGUAAUAGACAGAAGGCAUAGGACAGCAAGGGUCAAGGAAGGGCCAGCCACCCCAGGGAGCCACAGUCUCCACCUCAAUGAAGGGUUUGAAGAAUGGUGAGACCAGGAAGGCAGGGAUCACCCCCAUCAUCAUCUUCCCAUUCCUCUUCUGGCACCCAGCUGGACUCUGCUCCUACCUGAAUACAGAGGCAGGGAACCAGGUCUGUGUGGUUCAAGGUAAUGAUCUGCGGUCCAGUCUGUGGAACAAAUAAAGGAAGGAGGUUGGAGAAGAUAAGGAGGAAGAGGAGGACGCCAAAGUCAAGGAAACCAGGAAGGCGGAAGUUCCCCCACCAGUGUUCCCUUGCUUGGGAGACGGAGUUUCACCGUGUUAGCCAGGAUGGUCUGGAUCUCCUGACCUCGUGAUCCGCCCACCUCGGCCUCCCAAAGUGCUGAGAUUACAGGCGUGAGCCGUCACGCCUGGCCCCCUUCUUACUAUUUCUUAAACACCCCUGACAUACUCCCACCCCAGGCCCUUUGUGCUGGCUAUUCUCUCUUCCCUCAGAUAUGUGGCUCCUCUCUCACCUCUUUCAGGUCUCUGCUCACCAGAGUGAGACCAUCCCUGACCUCUGCCACUCCCAACCUUUCCCACCCCUUCCACAAAUGUUCUCCUUAGUGCUAAUCACUGUCUAACUUCCUGCAUUCUUCACAUCUCCAUGUGUUUGUUGUGUCCUUCCUCACCCCCACCCUGACCCUGACACCAGUUCCAUGGGGUCGGGGUUUUUUGUCAUCUUGAUUUAUUGAUUUAUUAAUAUUUCCAGUGUCCAGGGAUUUGCCUGGUACACAGAAAUUAAUAAAUAUCUGUUGAAUAAAUGAA